Molecule: long non-coding RNA, 1059 nt
Filed under: Gallus gallus (chicken)
Lineage: Eukaryota; Metazoa; Chordata; Aves; Galliformes; Phasianidae
Description: long non-coding RNA NONGGAT003563
Source: RNAcentral
CUCCCUAUUAGAGCUAAAUUAAAAGCCUCUUUAUGGAGGCCUAGCAGAAGGCGCUGCACUGUGCUAACCUGCAGCCAGGAACGUGCAUUAACAGCAUGGAUCUGUGUUACCUCCGCUGCCCCCGAGAUGCUGUCAGUGACAAACUGGAAGGAGGGCAUCGCUGUUACACCUGGCUGUGGGAAGGGGAACUCAGCCCUGGGCUGGGAUGGAGCAGAGAGAGGCACAGCUCAUGAUAAAUCUUCCAUAGAGCCGUGGCAAGAGCAAAGAGCUCCUGCAGCACAAUGUGUUGUGUAGGCAGAUCCUGCUCCUAGGAGGGGCCAGGCUAAGAGGGAAUUGGGGUAGAAGGGAAAGUCAUAAUUUCCCCUUUGAGGACAGAUUGGAAAGGUGCUGCUCGUCCCAGGCUGAGCAGGGUGUGCUCUCUGUGCGUUUGGCACAUCUCUCAGCUGCAAAAAGGAGGCUUUAACACCACAAUGCUUCUUAUAAUCAGAAUGUUCAAUUAAAACUCGCUCCAAAUGGUGCGAGGGGUGAGGCUGCAUAGGGAAAGGUGAGCCAAAUUUCUCAGGAUUAAACACAGUGCCAAAAGAGCACCCACAGCUCCCGGGCAGGGGAGGGUGCUCACAACGGGGAUGUGCUGUAGGUGUACCCAGAGAUGUGGGACACAGAAGGGAAAGGCCUGAAAGUAGAAGAAGAAAAGUAUUUUCAAGGGUAAAAAAAAAAAUACCAAAGAAAGGAGAACAAGGAGAGCUGUGGGCAGACAGCGAUGCUAUAUAGAAAGCAGAGGUGGCACGGUUGGGUAAUGGAAAUAGGGCAAACUGGGGAGCUGGGAAAGGAGGAGAACUAAAUUGCUCGAAAUGAGUCUCUCCUGUGUUAUGUCCUGAGCUGCCAUUUCCAUCUGUGUGGAGCGCUGAAUAUAAGCAAAUGGAUUUACACCAAGCAGAGAUAGGAGUAAGGGCCUGGCAAGGAAGAGUAAAGCACGGAGCAAUUCUCUUUUCCUUGGAGCCUCGCUUCUGGAAACAUUCCCAGUCCUUGGCGUAUUCAUCAGGAUCGUUACAAUUCUGC